RNAcentral lists this long non-coding RNA (791 nucleotides) under Brassica rapa (field mustard). RNAcentral describes it as "long non-coding RNA (BRAP_LNC003147)". The record is from RNAcentral. Lineage: Eukaryota; Viridiplantae; Streptophyta; Magnoliopsida; Brassicales; Brassicaceae.
AAGGUUCAAAGUCACAAAAAUAGGUUUCAUUAAAGAGGUAAAUAUACACUUAUAUCCCUUGGGUUAAUUAAUCCAAACCUUAGGGUUUAGAGUUAAGGGGUGGGGUUUUGAAAUUAGGGUUUAAAAUUUUAUAAAAAAAAUAUUAAAAUAAAAAAUAAAAAUUUUAAAAACAGUUUUAAAAAGUAUUUUUAAAUUAUAAAAAGAAAAUUUGAAAAAAAAAAAAAAAAAAAAAAUUCGAAAAAAAAAAAUUGUAAAAAUUUCGAAUCUGAAAACAUAUAAUCUGAAACUAUAAAAAAAAUCUUUUUUUCAUUUUUUUUUUUUAUUUUAUUAUUUUUAUUUAUUUUUGUUUGUUUAUUUAAUUUUAAACCAAGGGUAUUAGGGAUAUUUUACCCUUUAAUGAAUGUCAUUUUUGUGACUUUCUCCUUCUAGUGCUAUUUUUGAGACAUAAACUUCAAAAGGUGCUAUUAUUGACAAUUGCCCUUUGUUUAAAGCUUUGCUUGUUAUACUGUGGACACUUGGACGGUAACGUUCUUUUAUUACUAUAGUAUAAGUGAAUAAAUAUAUUCAUGUAUAUUUGAGACAACACAGCUUGGUACACGUGCUGGAGCUCCAGGUAAAAAAGUUACGGAAUCUUUUGGCUGAAACUCUGUAAAGUCUUGACACAAUCUCAGUUCAAAUAAAAAGUCAAGAAGUUCUAGAAACAUGUACGUUAAAUUUAGAUACGAAAGACAUGCGUAGACUUUAUACUUGUCUUUGUAAUAAACGAACAAUAGCGUGACCGACCUUCAUUG